This 2351-nucleotide long non-coding RNA is filed under the name Homo sapiens (human). Its description in RNAcentral is "HSALNT0381504". The record is from RNAcentral. Lineage: Eukaryota; Metazoa; Chordata; Mammalia; Primates; Hominidae.
ACAGUAGCUUCUUCUCUCGGGCCAGCAGGAAGCCUGAUUAAUGCCGCUUAAUACGACACUUCCCAUAUUUAUUUGGCCACAAAACUCCUUUUUCCCCAUAACUCCUAUUAAUAUCACAGGAAACAGUUUGAGAUCAGAAAAGCCUUCACAAAGGCAAUUUUUAAAGACUGAGUUAUAAGGCUCAAAAUAAAUGAGGAAUUCUAGAAAAGGAAGGGAGGAGGGAGAAGGACACUGGUUUGGGGUCUGGAGGGCUUUAAGAUGAGGGCGAAACAAGGACCACCCAUGAUUCCAAAGAAUAUCCGGAACUUGCUUGUUGUCUGUUGGUGCCUUUCUUUCAGCUCAUUCCUAGAGGGCGGACAGAGGCAGGAGUUGCUGUGUUGCUGGCCAGUGGCUCCUGACCAUAGGAAGGGGACUGUGGGUGUGAGAAGUAAAGCAGAGCAGGCCCCUGCCUCUGUUCUCCCCUUCCCCCUGGUAUUGGCUCACCGUGACAAAUCUUUCCCUAGGAAGGGCAGAAAAUGAAUUAUCCUGUUAAAUCAAUUCAGCAGAUAACCCACCUCUGUGCAGGCCUUGUGCUGGGACCACACAGAUGCAUAAGACACGUACAGCUUAGAGCCUAGUCAUGAAAUGGGAAAUAAACAGCCCCAUCCUCAAGGUCUGAACAGGGGAUUGGGGAGCACAGAGAAGGGCCCCACCCCGACCAGCUGUCAAGAGAACUAUCCAUACAUUCUAAUUCCUCCAAGGUUGAGGGCUAAGGUGUAGGAAGAGGAGAGAGGUUCCAAGCAGAAGGAAUUGCAGAAGCAAAGGCACAGAGGCAUCCGGGACCUGCGAGCAGCUAUGGCUGGAGCCGCGUGUCGCAGGAUGGAGAGCGUGUGAACAGAGGGGACUGGAAGCGGAUCCUCCCAGGAAGCAGUUGCAGGCGGUCAUGCUACAUUUGCAGGGAGACGGGAGGUUGUGAAGAACAAUAACCAGAAGAGAGUUUGCGUCUUCAUCAGAAAGCACCUGGGGCAGGUAGAGUUGGUGCUAGCUUCUCCAUCCAUCCCUGACACCCCAGCCCCAUUCAUCAUUCAGCAGAAGACAGGCUGGGCUGGCCCAACUUGGUCCUGUACCCCCACCACCCCAGAACCCCACUGGUCCAUAGUGAGGAUCCCUUCUCUUUGACUCUCCUCCUUCUCUGUGACUCGCCUAAGCCUGAUCCUACACCUUCUCUCCCAGCCACUGCCUCAGCUUCCUCCACCCCCAGCUUGGGACGAGCCACCUCCCUGGCUGGGUAGCAUGGGACAAGCCAUCUCCCUGCAGAGGCAGAGAACCAGUGACACUACACGCAAACCAAGGCCAUGCUGCAAACAGAACACCAAGGCACCCUCGUCUUAGGAUGCAUUAUAUUCGGGGUAGAUGUUGAAUUCUAGUAACACAUUCCCUGGGGUGUUUUCAAAUCCAGACACACUGGAGCCUUGUUCCAGCCUCACUGUGGGCGAAGGCCCCGGGCUCACCUCCAGCCUCAGGCUGGCUCUGGCUGCUGCCCCUGUUCCAUCCUGGCAAGCGGAACUGAACAGGCCCGACUCCACAGCCCCCGGUGCUGCCAGCUGCAAGCUCUGCUGACUCCAACCUCAGGCCCCUGCGUGCCUGCUUCUAAAUCCACACGUUCCUGCUCCUUCCUGCCCCUGCUGCCCUCUCAGAAUGCCACUUCUUUCUGCCAAGACCUCAGGCAUUGCUAUGGCCCAGCCCCAUCUUUAUUGAUGUCGGGGCUCUGUCCCCUUGCAGAGCCCAUCCCAUUGCCACCCACAUCUGGGACAGCAAAAGACUUCUCAGUUUCCUCCAGAGUUCAGUUUCUUCCAAAAAGCUCGGCACAUCUUAGCUGCCAGUGUGAACUGUGAGCUCCCAGAGAUGCCCGUGGCACUUUCCAACAUUCGUCACUUUUGACACAUCUAAAAUAUCCUAGCUCCCAGAGCUGCGUGAGCACCAGCCCAGAUGGACCGGCUGCUGGGGAAGCAUCAGUCUCUCCAGGGCCUCUGUGAAGCCCUGGGGCAGUAGGGGGAUGUCUGACAAAGCUUCCUAACUGAGGAGCCCCACUUCCUCUCGCUCUGGGCACCCCUGCCAAAUGAGCGGGCACCUCUAUGUUCCAGCAGCCCUCGCUGCCCAGCUUCUGAGCUGCAAGCCAGCUUCCUUCCACAGAAUUCUCUGCACCUUGGCUUCCGGUGGCUCCAAGCACUUUGCCAUCUGCCGAGUCAGUUCUGCCAGAGAUGAAGCAGCUGAUGUGGGGAGUUCUCUGUGGGGGCCACCUUUCCUCUCUCAGGUCACCUUUACUCUCAGAAGGAAACUGACCCCCUGACCUAUUAAAUAGCUGAAAUCAA